CUAAAUUAAACCAAUUAUUACAUACAGGGAAAAGGAAGAAAUAUGACCAAAAUUAUAUUGUUUGUUAAUGUCAUGAUUAUCAUAAUUUCUCUAUUUUUUGCUGCUAUAAACGUUGAAGCGUUGUUAUAUCCACCGUUCUAUCCUAGUAUGAGAUGUUCUAGUGACUCGGAUUGUCCUCCAUUUAGGUGUUGGAAACCUUGGAUAACAAAGUGUGUCAAAAAAUGGUGUAGGUGUAGAUGUAAAACUGCGGAAGACCUAUGAUAACAUUUGUGAUGUCCCUUAGCUUUUGUUUUUAAUUAUUUAUUAUUUUUAUAGCAAUGCACCUUGUCACCAAAAAUGACACUAAAUACUUACACUCGGCUACGGUUUAUCGUGAACAGUGUAAUAAUACUCGUGAACAAUUCGAGUGAAUAAUAAAUUUUAAUGGUAACUAAAAGUUGAUUAAUAAAAUAUAAAAAAUUGAUUAAUGAAA
This is a long non-coding RNA of Vicia villosa (hairy vetch), 472 nucleotides long. RefSeq lists it as uncharacterized. The transcript has 3 exons. Lineage: Eukaryota; Viridiplantae; Streptophyta; Magnoliopsida; Fabales; Fabaceae. The record is from RefSeq and is a predicted model, not a curated record.